UGGUCCCAUGUCUCAAAACAUGCUUUU
RNAcentral lists this non-coding RNA (27 nucleotides) under Mus musculus (house mouse). The record is from RNAcentral. Lineage: Eukaryota; Metazoa; Chordata; Mammalia; Rodentia; Muridae.